GAUUGCUCUCUUUUCUUGCGCCACUCUUUUCCUCUCUCCUGGCUUCGAUUCGUUGGAGUUCAAAAAAGAGGGAAAAUAACAACCUAACCAGCGAACUAAGGCCCCGAAUUUCGAUUCUUCGUCGCGAGUAAGAUCGAAUUUCAGUCUCCUUGGAUUCGAUUCUGGUAAGACCAAUCAAGAACGACGGACUAUCUGGUAUUAUAUUAUCAAAACUUUUUUGGUAAUUUAUUUUCCGCCUUACAUUUUCUUGUCAGACGAGGACGAAGAAAACGUUUGGUUUGGUUAAGGAUUUUUCAUGUACUGGUAAAGAAAGGUAUAUCAGGGACUCCGCCUCCUCUUCAGAUUUCGUUUUGCUU
RNAcentral lists this long non-coding RNA (356 nucleotides) under Carica papaya (papaya). RNAcentral's name for it is "long non-coding RNA (CPAP_LNC003192)". The record is from RNAcentral. Lineage: Eukaryota; Viridiplantae; Streptophyta; Magnoliopsida; Brassicales; Caricaceae.